Molecule: ribosomal RNA, 370 nt
Filed under: uncultured bacterium
Lineage: Bacteria
Description: bacterial SSU rRNA
Rfam family: Bacterial small subunit ribosomal RNA
Source: RNAcentral
GUAGGGUGCGAGCGUUAAUCGGAAUUACUGGGCGUAAAGCGUGCGCAGGCGGGCUUUUAAGCCAGACGUGAAAUCCCCGGGCUUAACCUGGGAAUGGCGUUUGGGACUGGGAGUCUGGAGUGCGGCAGAGGAGACUGGAAUUCCUGGUGUAGCAGUGAAAUGCGUAGAUAUCAGGAGGAACACCGAUGGCGAAGGCAGGUCUCUGGGCUGACACUGACGCUCAUGCACGAAAGCGUGGGGAGCAAACAGGAUUAGAUACCCUGGUAGUCCACGCCCUAAACGAUGUCGACUGGUUGUUGGGGGUUUGACACUCUCAGUAACGAAGCUAACGCGUGAAGUCGACCGCCUGGGGAGUACGGCCGCAAGGUUA